AGAGUUUGAUCCUGGCUCAGGAUGAACGCUAGCGGGAGGCCUAACACAUGCAAGCUGAGCGGUAUUUGUCUUUCGGGACAGAGAGAGCGGCGUACGGGUGCGUAACACGUGUGCAACCUGCCUUUAUCAGGAGGAUAGCCUUUCGAAAGGAAGAUUAAUACUCCAUAAUAUAUUAAUUGGCAUCAAUUGAUAUUGAAAACUCCGGUGGAUAAAGAUGGGCACGCGCAAGACUAGAUAGUUGGUGAGGUAACGGCUCACCAAGUCGAUGAUCUUUAGGGGGCCUGAGAGGGUGAUCCCCCACACUGGUACUGAGACACGGACCAGACUCCUACGGGAGGCAGCAGUGAGGAAUAUUGGACAAUGGGUUAGCGCCUGAUCCAGCCAUCCCGCGUGAAGGAUUGAGGACCUAUGGUUUGUAAACUUCUUUUGUACAGGGAUAAACCUACCCUCGUGAGGGUAGCUGAAGGUACUGUACGAAUAAGCACCGGCUAACUCCGUG
RNAcentral lists this ribosomal RNA (499 nucleotides) under uncultured bacterium. Its description in RNAcentral is "bacterial SSU rRNA". It matches the Rfam family "Bacterial small subunit ribosomal RNA", at positions 8 to 507 of the family's 1533-position model. The record is from RNAcentral.